This is an RNA transcript of Hippopotamus amphibius kiboko, 8433 nucleotides long. It is a transcript of the gene named polypeptide N-acetylgalactosaminyltransferase 8, with no coding region annotated. The transcript has 15 exons. NCBI's taxonomy places the organism in Eukaryota, Metazoa, Chordata, Mammalia, Artiodactyla, Hippopotamidae. The record is from RefSeq and is a predicted model, not a curated record.
GGCAUAUUCCACACACCUGAUGCCGCUCUGGGAGAACCAGGCAGCCUGGGACAGCUUUCCCAGCCAGAGAAUAUCUGGCUCAGUGGGCAGGGUGUCCUCUAUGCAGCUGGAGUCAAGGCUCAGCUCACUGUGAUCCUCAGGGGCCUGAGCAGUGACACACGCCACCCCCAGGGAGCGGCAGAGCCAGAGGCAGAGCACGAUGCUCAGGAGAAAUGUCCCCAAAACCCUAGGCAUGGGGCUGAUGCUGGUCUUUGCUCUCCAUUUCCUCCUGAUGUUUUAUGCCAAGGGGAUUUUACAAAAGCUGGUUCUGGGUGAUCUCCAGAAGAAGCUUUAUUUGCCUCCAUCUGAACAGAAUGGGACAGUGAUGGAGAGACUCUCUCACCUGGAGGUGGAUUUGCUGCACCUGAGAGAAAGGAUGAAACUGGCUAUGAAGCAGCCAAAAGAUGUGGGUGACACACUGGCGAGGGUGAAAGAUGAAGAGCAUCCUGUUCAAAAUGCAGUGCAAGCCAAGGCAAGGGGCUUCUUCAAGCAAAAACCCAACAAGCUUCUCUUCCCAAACUCACAGCUUUUCAAGCAGUGGGGUUGGGACCUCCCUGAGGCUGAGCAGAAGGAGGCAGAGGACCUCUUCCAGAAGUUUGGCUACAAUGUUUACCUCAGUGACCAGUUACCCCUCGAUCGCACCAUUCCAGACACACGAGAUUACAGGUGUCUUCGGAAGAGAUAUCCUUCACAACUCCCAUCUCUCAGCGUCAUCCUCAUAUUCGUGGAUGAAGCGCUGUCUGUUAUACAAAGGGCCAUCACUAGUGUCAUCAACCGGACCCCCCCUCCACUGCUGAAGGAGAUCAUCUUAGUGGAUGAUUUUAGCUCAAAUGGAGAAUUAAAGGCUUACUUGGAUGAGAAGAUUAAGCUUUACAACCAGAAGGCUCCAGGACUACUGAAAAUAAUACGGCACACCGAGAGAAAAGGUCUUGCUGCUGCUCGCAAUACCGGCAGGGAAGUGGCUACGGCUGACGUGGUUGCCAUCUUGGAUGCUCAUGUUGAAGUGAACGUUGGGUGGGCAGAGCCCAUCUUGGCUCGGAUUCAGGAAGACCGCACCGUGAUUGUGUCCCCUGUGUUUGACAACAUCCUUUUUGACACCUUUAAAUUGAAAAAGUAUGGACUGGCCGCUGACGGGUUUAACUGGGAACUAUGGUGCCGCUAUGAUUCACUGCCACAGGCCUGGCUUGAUCUGCAUGAUGUCACCGCUCCUGUGAAGAGUCCUUCCAUCAUGGGCAUCCUGGCUGCCAACAGGCUCUUCUUGGGAGAGAUUGGAUCUGUGGACAGUGGGAUGCUGACCUACGGAGGAGAGAACGUGGAACUUAGCCUGAGGGUGUGGCAGUGUGGUGGGAGCAUCGAGGUCUUGCCCUGCUCCAGGAUUGCCCACCUGGAGAGACACCACAAGCCCUACUCCCUGGACCUGAGUGUUCCCUUGAAGCGUAACGCGCUGAGGGUGGCCGAAAUCUGGAUGGAUGAGUACAAACACAUGGUCUACAUGGCCUGGAACGUACCUCUGCAGGAUGAAGUUCCAGGCACGCACAACUCAUCACGACAUACCUCGGGGGUAAGGUUUAUUUUUAUUAUUUUAAGUUUACAGAUGAAGAAACUGAAGCACAGAGUGGAAAGGAAGUUGUUUAAGAACUCCGGAAUCGAUUUUGGAGACAUUUCUUCCAGAAUGGCACUCCGGAAGAAACUGAAUUGCAAAACUUUUGACUGGUAUCUGAAAAAUGUUUAUCCAGUCCUGAAGCCAAUCAACAGCAUUGUGGGCUAUGGAAGAAUGAAAAACCCAUUGGAUGAGAGUGUCUGCCUGGACCAGGGAGCUAUUCCAGGCAACAGCCCCAUCAUGUAUCACUGCCAUCAGUACAGUCCGCAGAACGUCUACUACCACCUAACUGGGGAAUUCUACGUGGGACCACUGAUUGCUGAGAGAAACACUGAUGAUCGCUGUCUGACAGACCCUGGCAAAGAGGAGAAGCCCACUUUAGAGCCAUGUUCCAAGGCAGUCAAAUACAGACUGCACAUACAUUGGGAUUUUAAACAGGUUGUCAGCAAGGACAGCUCUUUCCCCAAAGUAGGAAACUACAUGCGACUUUCAGUGGCAGGUCAAGACCCACUCCACCCCUCCCCACCUCCACAUUCCCUGAACGGGGUAGGAUUUGUUCCAAUUCAGCUUUGCACCCUUCUAGUUCUUAACUCUGUGCCUUGUGCUUAGCAGAUGAUCAAUUAAUGUGGAUGAAUGAAAAGCUGUUGUCUAUUUUGGAACUUUGCAUGCAGUUCAAAAGUGUCUGUUUUCUCUAGUUUGUGUGACAAAUCAGCACAAAUAGUGGCUGAAAACAACAUAAAUAUGUUAUUUCACAGUUCUGGAGGUCAGAAGUCUGAAAUGGGUCUCACUGGAUUAAAAUCAAGGUGUCGGCAGGACUGCAUUCCUCUCUGGAAGUCCUAAGGGGAAAUCCCUUCUUUUCUGUUUGUUUUGUUUUCUGGUUUUGUCUUUUCCAUCUUCUAGAGGCUGCCUGUACUCUUGGGCUUGUGGCCUCUUCCACCUUCAUAGUCAGUGGUGGCUGAUCAAAUCUUUCUCACAUUGUGUCACUGAACCAUUGACUAUUGUUCCAUCUUUUUUUUUGGCUGCAUAGUGUGGCAUGUGGAAUCUUAGUUUCAAAACCAGGGAUUGAAACUGUGCCCCUCGCAGUGGAAGCUUAGAGUCUUAACCACUGGUCCGUCAGGGAAAUAAGGAUUCUGCCAUCUUUACAGGACCUUGUGAUGACAUUGGGCCCCUCUGGAUAUUCCAGGAUCAUCUAUCUUAAGGUCAAGCCCUACCUUGGAAAAAACAGCAAGAAGAAACCCUUUAGUGAGUGUGCUGCUUUUACAGCCAUCCCAGGGGACAGAUCUGUCUCCAUUAAGUGUCCAGUUGUUGAGAGCUGCAGCCGGCUGGCAGCUUCUUCAUUCCCCAACAUUGGAUGGGGAAGCCAAGCCCAGAAGAGAAAACAGCAUAAAAGUACACAUCAGACAUCCCGGUUCCAAUCUCUGCAUCUGACAGGCUACCUCACAAAGUCUUUGAGACCUUGACUUACCACCGGGUUUUAGGGACCUGUCCUACUCAACGGACAGCCUUCUCUCAUUUCUUCCUUUUUAUUGUUUUAUUUUUUCUUUCUUUCUUUUAAAAAACAUUUUUGGCUGUGCCACGUGGCUUGUGGAAUCUUAGUUCCCCAACCAGGGAUCGAACCGGUGCCCUUGGCAGUGAAGGCGUCGAGUCCUAGCGACUGGACUUCUGGGGAGGUCCCAGCUUCUUCCUUUCUAGGUUCCUGCAAAUUCCUGACCCUGGGGGGAAAACUGAAAAUCAUUUUACUUCUCUUUUGAUGCCAGGCAAUUGAACUUCCUUUGCCCUAAGCUUUCAUCACGAACCAUAUCCUGGGCUUUACCAUUCUUAACGAUACAGUCCUUUCAUUUGUCUUCAGAACUAAAAGAAUUUUUUACUCCAUGGAGUCUGCAGUUAGCAAAAUCAACAAGAGAUACAAUGUCUUCAAGUGUGUCAAAGGUUCCAGAUCAGUCUCUUCCUGAACUUGUACUUCACUCCCCCAGUGGAAGAUGCAGGAAGAUAUUUUCUCCAUCUUUUCCGAGCAUACCCUCUACAGACUGAUAUGGUGGAGGGAGAAGUAACCAACAAUAAGAACAAAAGAGUUGACCAAAGUUAAGCUUUUGAAAUAAAUUUCAUGAUUUAUGUUCAAUUUUUUUUCUUGGGGCCAUAGAAAAUGCAACAUUAACAAGCUCUGUUACAUGUAUCUCCAAGCAGGAAAACAAGUAGGUGUAACUGUCCUAGGUUAAGCUGUAUUCAUAAACAUCCCAUACCUCUCAGUGGGUUCUAUUGAAGGAUUAUUUAUUUCUCAGAGUACACAUUCUUCACUGGGAUUCUUGGGGCCCUAGGCUGAUGGAGAAGCUAUCUUCUCAAGUGCUCUCGAUCAUGAUGGUGGAGGAAAAGAGUUUGGGUAAUUCAGUGCUGUGGGUCAGAUGUGACAUAUGUCACAACGCAUCAGCUGGAAUGAGUCAUGUGACCCUGGCCUGCCCUAAGUGGACCAGGAAGGACACAAUCCUACCAUGUGCUCAGAAGGGAGAGAGAUGGAAAUAUUUGGUAAAGAGCAGCAACGACUACCAUCGUCUGCCCUCCUGGUCAUGAAAUGUUUGACCAUCACAGGCAAAAUACGCUUACCCUCUAAGGAAGGCAACCUAAAAGUCCUAUCCAGUCUGGGUACCAAGCUCAAAGUCUGGGACCUCCAGUGGUGGGGAGUAGUCUUUGCGUUCACAGGGGCAUAUUCUGGUCUCUACUUCAGUUAUGGAUGUGGUUCCUUCUAGUUCAGAAACUCAGUGAAUCAAAAAGACACGUUAUCUUUCCACCUUCCACAGCACAACGGACAGGGGUUGAUCUGGAACAGGAUACCCUUAAUAAAUAUUCCUGUUCAGAAAGGGGAGAGAAAAGGAAGCAGUGCAGCUAUCACUGGACCGUGGUUGUGGUGGUUCUGAACCCCAUUUAGCAGAAUUAGGUCCUCAUGUGGCUGCUUGGGAGGGAAUCCUAGCUCCCUGUUCUCUAUCCCCCAGCUUCCCCUCUGGAACAUUCUCUCUCACCUUCCUUGGUCCUAUUUGAGAUGGGCGUUGCAGGUAAUAGAUUCCUUGGGGACUGAGCAGCUUUCUUUGCUGGCUUCUUGACCAUACAGAUUUAGGGGCCUAAAGGUUGUUUAAAGUCUUGAACAAUCCUGAAUGGGUUAGUCCAUAUCGUGGUUCCUUUGGCAAUAUGACUGAUGUAAAUCAUCUUAGACUUUCUCCUAUCUGUCCAGGCAGCUCUCUGUGCCCCUAGCCAAUAACCACACCCAUGGAUCUUCUUGAGAUCAACCUAACAGUGGAUGAUUUGAGCCUAUUAGUUUUCUGUGGGAAGUUAUACACCUCUAGUUUCUUCCCCUCCUCCACAUGUCACUUUGUCUAAUUCAAAUACUUAUUUUUUGGAAGCCACAAUGUUAAUUAGGUUUUUGUAAAGCACUUUAUUUUGUUCAGGGGUAUCAGCAAUGGGCAUGAUUGCCCUACGCUUGAUUUGUUCUGUGAAGCAAGCCUGAGUCCUAAUCAGCCCUUCCGGCACAGAGGUCUUUUGAUUUUUGUUUACUUCUAUUUGGUAUGAGCAGCAAUUGCCUCUGCCAGCCCUGAAUAUCCCCACGUUUCUGGACUCUCUCUUGUCUAUUUCAUCCCUGCGUGCCAAAAGUAGCCACCACGUGAUGCUAACAAUCUGUUUUCCAACAUCUUCAUAGACGUACAAGUUUUUAGGUACAUUAUCUGCCUUCUAAGUUAUCACAGGCAGCAAUUUUUCAAAUAUUUUGCCACUCAUAACAUGGAAUACCCAUAACAGCCUCCAAUAAAGUGUCUUUACUGUCCAUUAUCUGGCCCUGGAGUGAAUGUCACAAAUUUUAAGUUUUGGUUACAGCAGCUUCUCGAUUCUGGGUACCACUGUGAAUCAGUUUGGAUAAACUAAAUUAUGCCGUGGUAACAAAUCCAUCCCCAAAUAUCAGAGAAUUAGAACAACAAAAGUUUUUUUCUUACUCAUGCUAUGUUCCUGUUGCUCUGUCUGGGGGCCCUGUCCCAUGUCACCUCUCUCUGGAACCCACCUCACUCUGCCGGAGCAGCCGCCACCAUGGGUGAUGCUGGCCACUGUGGCCGGGAUAAAAGAAGCUCUGGAGGCUUUAAUUAAAUAUUUUGGUCCAGAAAUGAUACGCAUCACUUCUGCUUACAACUCAUGAUUAGCAUUACUGGCCUGGUCCAACCACAGCUGAGCUAGCGUGUACAAUUCCCCACCUUCCUGUAAGGGAGAGAGCCGAAGACAUUUGCAAAAUAGCACUAAUGAUGCCACAGUAGGGGAAUGGGAUGUAGAAGCCGGCUGCAAACUUGUAAUACUAACAAGUGCUCUUGGGAUCCUUCCUGAACAGUAAAACGUUUUUUAUAGAUUUAUUUCUUGGCAGAGUUAGUCAUUUCCUAGGGCUGUUGAUUUGCAUGACACAGAUGUCUAAUGCAUCCCUUUCCCAAUAUACAGCUUCACUCAACUGAAAGCUGUUAGAGUUUUCUCUAGUGGAUUUUAUAGCAUCAUUAUCUCCACCACCACUUUCUGGUUGAGAUCAUCACCACCAUCACCAUCACUAUCAUCACCAUCAUCACCACCAUCAUCACCAUCACCACCACCAUCAUCACCACCAUCACCACCACCAUCAUCACCAUUACCACCAUCACCAUCAUCAUCACCAUCAUCACCACCACCAUCACCAUCAUGUUCAUCAUCACCACCAUCACCAUCACCACCAUCACCAUCAUCAUCACCAUCACCAUCACCAUCAUCAUCACCACCACCAUCACCAUUAUGUUCAUCAUCACCACCAUCACCAUCACCAUCAUCAUCAAAAACUUUGGCUAAGCAGCUAAUUACAAAUAAUGCUUAUCUAUAAGAUAUGUUUGCAUUUGUCCUUCCCUUUGUCACUUUAGUCCCGGGGAAAGCCCAGAGGGAGGGAAUUGAUCACAGGACACUGUCUGACUCAUCAUCCCUUUCCCAAACCAUCUAGAGAGAGGUGUGAUUCUUCUUAGGGAGGGUGUGUGUGUACAUACCUGGGCACAGGUAGGAACUGAGGGAGUUGACCACUUACCACUCUUUCCUUCCACAGAUGUCUGUGAGAGAAAGGGCAGUGAAAAGGACCAUUCACAGGGCAGUGAAAAGGACCAUUCAUAGAGAUUACUCAGAGAAUCAAGGCUAAGCUUCCCCAGAGGAAAACUACAAGGAUCCUACUGCCAGGGUAAUGAUAAACACACACACAUGCACACACAGAGAGAAAGUAGAAAAUGUAAUAAAAGAAACCUGUAAAAUAGAGUAGAAUGAUCAUUGAUACACCUGGGAUAAGUACAUUUUAAGAUCCAGGGCAAAGAGAAGAAUGUAAAUGGUUAUCAAAUUAUGUGCCACAUUUUAUCUGUUCCUCCUGGUUGGUACAUACAUCCAUUUGUAGGUGGUUCCUCCCUACUGGCACCAUUUUAUUUCUACCAUGUACUCCUAAUUUGAUGUAGAUAUGUUUUCACUGGAAGGUCUGCAUUGGUCUGGGAGGAUAGGAGCCCUGGGGUCCGUUCCCAGUUUUUGGUUUCCAGGACAAUCCUUUCUCUUGAUUUCCUUCUACCUCACUGAAAACCCCUUGGUCGUCUUUGCUGGCUCCUCUUCUUCCUGAACUUGAACUGUAAAUUGCAGAGUGCUGUGAAGGACUUGGUCCUGAUUAUGUUUCUCUUCAUUGUCCAUAUUCUGUCUGUCUAGGAGACUUUAAUGCCAUGGGUUUAAAUACUUCUAAAUAUUUUAAAUUGAUCAAUUAUACAUUUCUCUACCAUAUUCCAAACCUGGAUAAACAAUCACCUCCGUGAUGUCUUCAUUCACCUGUGUAAUUUGCUUCUCCAAGUGAAUAUGUCUAAAAAGGAGAUGGAUCUAGAUGGGUCCCAAUCUGUUUAGUCUCUCAUCUUCCCCUUCUCAAUAAAUGGCACCACCAACCCAUCCCGGUUGCUCAAACCCCGAACCUGGCAACCAUUGUUUAUUUCUCAUGUCCUAUCCAUCACCAAUUCCUGCUAAUUCUAUCUCCUAAACAUCUCACCGACCCCUCCAUCUUUACUCACCCUACCUUUUCUCUAAUCCAAGUCAUCAUCAUCUUUUCUCCAAAUCACUGCAAUUUCCUGGCCUCCUGAUUUUGUUUCCUUUGUCGCUUUGUAAUUUAUUCCCCUCUGUGAAACUUAUUCACAGCCUCUAUGUGAACCAUGUCCUGUCUCUUCUCCUCUUGAGAACUGUCAUUGGCUUCACAUCCAACAUCCUCAGAUAAAACCUGAACGCACGCCCCCCCUCCGCCGCCCAAAACCUGCCCCUGGCUCCUCUUCAACCUCAUCUUGUACAUCUCUCUCUGCUGCCCCUUCUCCUCCCAGCAUGUGGCUUUCAUUGUCAUCUUGAACACCCAUGGCCUGUCUAGGUCAGGGCUUUUGAACUUGCCUGCCCCGAAUGCUCUUCCCUGCUUUUAGCAAGUCUGGCUCAUUCUCAUCUUUGACUUCUCAGUUGAACUAUUACCCCUUCAGAGGGAACUUUCCCAACCACCCUCUUCAAAGCAGAAUCCCCAAGUUCAUUUCUGACUCAGCAUCCCAUUUCUUUUCUUCAGAGCAUUGGCUACAAUAUGUAAAUGUCUUCUUUAUUGUUUUCUGUUAAAAUUUUCUACCUAGAAUGGUAUGUAUUUACUGUGUGAAAAUGUAAGCUCAUAAGAGCAGAUGGUUUGUCCAGAUCACUUCUAAACCCCCAGCACCUGGCACAUGGUGGGCACCCAGUAGCUUCUCAGUGAAAACUUGUUAAAUAAAUGGUUCCUACUAUCA